This is a non-coding RNA of Paramuricea clavata, 860 nucleotides long. NCBI's taxonomy places the organism in Eukaryota, Metazoa, Cnidaria, Anthozoa, Malacalcyonacea, Plexauridae. The record is from the annotation of a GenBank genome assembly.
GGUGGGCAAAUGCCCCCCAGUCCCUUAUGCCCACCACAAAAUCACAUUUGCCUCCCCCCCCCAAGAAAAGUCCCUUUUUCCUAAAGUUAUACAAACAAACCAGCGAAAAAUAACAAAUAGAUAAACGGAAAGUAAGUUUUAGGCUUUAUCCUUUGUCCUAACUCGCUUAACAAAAUCGAUUUAAAUUGUUACGUUUUUCUAUCAGUAAGUAUAAUGAUAAAUUAUUGUUAAUAAAUUUUUAUUUUUUGUGCGUUUUUUCAUUCUUUUAUUUCAAAUACAUGUAUACUUAGCAUAAAUUUUAGGGCAAAUUUAAAUGCUUAGAAUGCAGGAAAUGGCAUUUCCGGUCUUCAAAUUUCAAAAGGAGUAUGCCCCCAGACCCCUCUAUUCACGAUUGGUAUGUUCGCCACACACGUGGCCUUCAGCCAUUCGUUCCUAUCCCCCUCUAAUAUAUUAUCUCACAGAAAGGUCCCUUUUCAAAAAAUGCCCCUAGGGGAAAUCCUUAAAAAAAGCCCUGACCAAUAUACAGGGACGCCGGAACGAUAAUAGGGCAAAGGGUGGCGGACGCACACCAAGGGCACCUUUACUGAAAUUUUUUUUUUUCACUGCAAAAUUUUUUGGCGACCCCCCCCCGUCGCCAAAAAAAUUUCGGUCAGUGUACCAUUUUAGGGGUCAAAAAAUUUUUCCGGACAUACAAAAAUUUUCCGUGAAGCCAAAAAUUUUUCCGGAUAUCUUAAUUUUCGCCAUUUCUUCAAACUAUUUUUCUAAAUUCCAAAAAUUUCCCAAAAUUUUUAUAAAUAUAAACUAUAAAUUACCUGAAUCUCGUGAUUUUCCUACAAAAAGCAUCGUUGGAAAUGUGAUUU